Molecule: ribosomal RNA, 253 nt
Filed under: uncultured bacterium
Lineage: Bacteria
Description: partial 16S ribosomal RNA
Rfam family: Bacterial small subunit ribosomal RNA
Source: RNAcentral
UACAGAGGUCUCAAGCGUUGUUCGGAAUCACUGGGCUUACAGGGUGCGUAGGCGGCUUGUUAAGUAGGGUGUGAAAGCCCCCGGCUCAACCGGGGAAUUGCGCCCUAAACUGGCGAGCUGGAGUGAGAUAGGGGUGUGUGGAACUUCCGGUGGAGCGGUGAAAUGUGUUGAUAUCGGAAGGAACGCCGGUGGCGAAAGCGACACACUGGAUCUUGUCUGACGCUGAGGCACGAAAGCCAGGGGAGCGAACGGG